This 235-nucleotide ribosomal RNA is filed under the name uncultured Candidatus Saccharibacteria bacterium. Its description in RNAcentral is "partial 16S ribosomal RNA". It matches the Rfam family "Bacterial small subunit ribosomal RNA", at positions 585 to 818 of the family's 1533-position model. The record is from RNAcentral. Lineage: Bacteria; Candidatus Saccharimonadota.
AAGUGGAUAGUGAAACCUGGUGGCUCAACCAUACAGACUAUUAUCCAAACUGCUAAGCUCGAGAAUGGUAGAGGUAGCUGGAAUUUCUUGUGUAGGAGUGAAAUCCGUAGAUAUAAGAAGGAACACCAAUGGCGUAGGCAGGUUACUGGACCAUUUCUGACACUGAGGCACGAAAGCGUGGGGAGCGAACCGGAUUAGAUACCCGGGUAGUCCACGCCGUAAACGAUGGAUACUA